Molecule: ribosomal RNA, 520 nt
Filed under: uncultured bacterium
Lineage: Bacteria
Description: partial 16S ribosomal RNA
Rfam family: Bacterial small subunit ribosomal RNA
Source: RNAcentral
GACGAACGCUGGCGGCGUGCCUAAUACAUGCAAGUCGAACGCACUCUCGUUUAGAUUGAAGGAGUUUGCUCCUGAUUGAUAAACAUUUGAGUGAGUGGCGGACGGGUGAGUAACACGUGGGUAACCUGCCCUAAAGUGGGGGAUAACAUUUGGAGACAGAUGCUAAUACCGCAUAAAACCUAACACCGCAUGGUGUAGGGUUGAAAGAUGGUUUCGGCUAUCACUUUAGGAUGGACCCGCGGUGCAUUAGUUAGUUGGUGAGGUAAAGGCUCACCAAGACCGUGAUGCAUAGCCGACCUGAGAGGGUAAUCGGCCACACUGGGACUGAGACACGGCCCAGACUCCUACGGGAGGCAGCAGUAGGGAAUCUUCCACAAUGGACGAAAGUCUGAUGGAGCAACGCCGCGUGAGUGAAGAAGGUUUUCGGAUCGUAAAACUCUGUUGUUGGAGAAGAAUGUAUCUGAUAGUAACUGAUCAGGUAGUGACGGUAUCCAACCAGAAAGCCACGGCUAACUACGUG